GAUGUAUUUAUAGAACCAAAGACAGCUGUAGUUCAAAUUUCAUUUACUAAUAUAAUAGCAUACAAGACCAGCAUAAUAAAUACAAUUUACUAUCUUUGUCUAGGUAAUCUUUUCCUUAUUGCUUAGAAUUAUUCUGUUCAAUAAUAUAAUUUAGAGAUAACUCAUAUAUCUCUAAAACAAAAGUAAAGAGCAAACAAAGUUCUAGUAAAGAAGAAACAAAUUUAGAGGCAAUAAAUACA
This 239-nucleotide unclassified non-coding RNA is filed under the name Hevea brasiliensis (rubber tree). Lineage: Eukaryota; Viridiplantae; Streptophyta; Magnoliopsida; Malpighiales; Euphorbiaceae. The record is from RNAcentral.